This 460-nucleotide ribosomal RNA is filed under the name uncultured bacterium. Its description in RNAcentral is "bacterial SSU rRNA". It matches the Rfam family "Bacterial small subunit ribosomal RNA", at positions 8 to 507 of the family's 1533-position model. The record is from RNAcentral.
AGAGUUUGAUCCUGGCUCAGAACGAACGCUGGCGGCAUGCCUAACACAUGCAAGUCGAACGGGAUCCUAGCUUGCUAGGUGAGAGUGGCGGACGGGUGAGUAACACGUGGGAAUCUGCCUUUUGGUUCGGGAUAACUUUGGGAAACUAAAGCUAAUACCGCAUACGCCCGAGAGGGGAAAGAUUUAUCGCUGAUUGAUUAGCCCGCGUGAGAUUAGGUAGUUGGUGGGGUAAUGGCCUACCAAGCCUACGAUCUCUAGCUGGUCUGAGAGGAUGAUCAGCCACACUGGAACUGAGACACGGUCCAGACUCCUACGGGAGGCAGCAGUGGGAAUAUUGGGCAAUGGAGGAAACUCUGACCCAGCCAUGCCGCGUGAAUGAUGAAGGCCUUAGGGUUGUAAAGUUCUUUCGCCGAUGAAGAUAAUGACGGUAGUCGGAGAAGAAGCCCCGGCUAACUUCGUG